Non-coding RNA from Triticum aestivum (bread wheat), 115 nucleotides. Lineage: Eukaryota; Viridiplantae; Streptophyta; Magnoliopsida; Poales; Poaceae. The record is from Rfam.
UAUCUACUUCCUCCGUUCCAAAUUACUCGUCUCAGAAAUGGAUGUAUUUAGAACUAAAAUACAUCUAGAUACAUCCAUUUCUGCAACGAGUAAUUCGAAACGGAGAGAGUACCAU